AACGAACGCUGGCGGCAGGCCUAACACAUGCAAGUCGAGCGAGGACUUCGGUUCUAGCGGCGGACGGGUGAGUAACGCGUGGGAAUGUGCCCUUCUCUACGGAAUAGCUCUGGGAAACUGGGAGUAAUACCGUAUACGCCCUAUUGGGGAAAGAUUUAUCGGAGAAGGAUCAGCCCGCGUUGGAUUAGGUAGUUGUUGGGGUAAUGGCCUACCAAGCCGACGAUCCAUAGCUGGGUUGAGAGGAUGAUCAGCCACACUGGGACUGAGACACGGCCCAGACUCCUACGGGAGGCAGCAGUGGGGAAUCUUAGACAAUGGGGGCAACCCUGAUCUAGCCAUGCCGCGUGAGUGAUGAAGGCCUUAGGGUUGUAAAGCUCUUUCAGCUGGGAAGAUAAUGACGGUACCAGCAGAAGAAGCCCCGGCUAACUCCGUG
This 433-nucleotide ribosomal RNA is filed under the name uncultured bacterium. RNAcentral's name for it is "partial 16S ribosomal RNA". It matches the Rfam family "Bacterial small subunit ribosomal RNA", at positions 29 to 507 of the family's 1533-position model. The record is from RNAcentral.